This 363-nucleotide long non-coding RNA is filed under the name Setaria italica (foxtail millet). RNAcentral's name for it is "long non-coding RNA (SITA_LNC004730)". Lineage: Eukaryota; Viridiplantae; Streptophyta; Magnoliopsida; Poales; Poaceae. The record is from RNAcentral.
GGAGAUGCGAUAGGGGAGGAUGGAUGAUGCCGAUGGCAAUGACCAGUAUGUCAGUGACAGGGAGGCACUGACAAACAGGGCCCAGAUGGCGGUCGAUCAAAAUGGCCAAGCCACCUACCUGCUACUCCAUCUGUUCCAAAUUGUAGGUCGUUUUGAGUUUUAUAGUUCAUAGAUGUUUGUAUGCAUCUAGAACCAUAUGAGUUAAGAGGACGUAGGCCAAGCUGCUCUAGUUGAAAAAUAGAGUGGAUGGCAAUCCUUUAGGGAUGGGUUGAAACAAGGGAUCCUUAGCCUGGGUGUGAUAUGACACUCGAGUGUUUUACUUCUCUCCCACACUUGAAUCUUUCUUCUUCUUUUCCCCUUCUU